This 253-nucleotide ribosomal RNA is filed under the name uncultured bacterium. RNAcentral describes it as "partial 16S ribosomal RNA". It matches the Rfam family "Bacterial small subunit ribosomal RNA", at positions 524 to 776 of the family's 1533-position model. The record is from RNAcentral.
UACGGAGGGUGCAAGCGUUAUCCGGAUUCACUGGGUUUAAAGGGUGCGUAGGAGGGCAGGUAAGUCAGUGGUGAAAUCUCCAAGCUUAACUUGGAAACUGCCGUUGAUACUAUCUGUCUUGAAUACCGUGGAGGUGAGCGGAAUAUGUCAUGUAGCGGUGAAAUGCUUAGAUAUGACAUAGAACACCAAUUGCGAAGGCAGCUCGCUACACGAAUAUUGACUCUGAGGCACGAAAGCGUGGGGAUCAAACAGA